CCUACGGGUGGCAGCAGUAGGGAAUCUUUCACAAUGGGCGAAAGCCUGAUGGAGCAACGCCGCGUGCAGGAUGAAGGCCUUCGGGUUGUAAACUGCUUUUAUAAGCGAGAAAUAUGAUGGUAACUUAUGAAUAAGGAUCGGCUAGCUACGUGCCAGCAGCCGCGGUCAUACGUAGGAUCCGAGCAUUAUCCGGAGUGACUGGGUGUAAAGAGUUGCGUAGGUGGCAUAAUAAGUAUCUAGUGAAAUCUGGUGGCUCAACCAUUCAGACUAUUAGCUAAACUGUUAAGCUCGAGACCGUUAGGGGUAACUGGAAUUUCUAGUGUAGGAGUGAAAUCCGUAGAUAUUAGAAGGAACACCAAUAGCGUAGGCAGGUUGCUGGGACGGUUCUGACACUAAGGCACGAAAGCGUAGGGAGCAAACGGGAUUAGAUACCCCUGUAGUC
RNAcentral lists this ribosomal RNA (442 nucleotides) under uncultured bacterium. RNAcentral's name for it is "partial 16S ribosomal RNA". It matches the Rfam family "Bacterial small subunit ribosomal RNA", at positions 338 to 795 of the family's 1533-position model. The record is from RNAcentral.